CAGCCGCCGCGGGAAUACCGAGGGUGCGAGCGUUAAUCGGAUUUACUGGGCGUAAAGCGUGCGUAGGCGGCUUUUUAAGUCGGAUGUGAAAUCCCUGAGCUUAACUUAGGAAUUGCAUUCGAUACUGGGAAGCUAGAGUAUGGGAGAGGAUGGUAGAAUUCCAGGUGUAGCGGUGAAAUGCGUAGAGAUCUGGAGGAAUACCGAUGGCGAAGGCAGCCAUCUGGCCUAAUACUGACGCUGAGGUACGAAAGCAUGGGGAGCAAACAGGAUUAGAUACCCGUGUAGUCCCUGUCUCUUAUAC
Molecule: ribosomal RNA, 301 nt
Filed under: uncultured bacterium
Lineage: Bacteria
Description: partial 16S ribosomal RNA
Rfam family: Bacterial small subunit ribosomal RNA
Source: RNAcentral